Molecule: transfer RNA, 34 nt
Filed under: Apoda limacodes
Lineage: Eukaryota; Metazoa; Arthropoda; Insecta; Lepidoptera; Limacodidae
Description: partial transfer RNA-Ser
Source: RNAcentral
AAAACUUAAGAAAGAAUAUAAAUUCUAUUAAUUU